Non-coding RNA from Pelobates cultripes (western spadefoot toad), 470 nucleotides. The record is from the annotation of a GenBank genome assembly. Lineage: Eukaryota; Metazoa; Chordata; Amphibia; Anura; Pelobatidae.
CACUAAUGAUUCCUAAACUAGAGAAGAUUAGAGGGAUGCUUAACCUCACAGAUAAUGAAUGGUUACUUCUGAAACCCCAAUCCACUAAAUGCAAUGAAUGGUUAACUGGUAAUGUUUCACAUUUUUCAUGCUCAUGCUAUUUUACACUAUAUCAUACAUCAUCAAAGGAUGUUAAAUUAGCUUGUCAAUUUAACACAUUACCAGUACCAGUUUAUGAUCUCUUUACCAGGAAUUUAACCUGGUGGGCACCCACAUACACAGGGGACUAUAUUUUCCCCAAAGAUAAUAUGACCUAUUCCCUUAAACACUGUGUUCUCACUGACAAAGGAUAUGCAUGUCGACACUCGUCCCCUAUUUACGAACCAUGCUUACUCCAAAAUGAACUUAACAAGUGCAUAUGGCACAUAUAUCCUGAAAAUUAUUUUACCAUGGCUGAAAUAAGCACACGACAUAUCUGUUUGGCAACUAAC